RNAcentral lists this non-coding RNA (129 nucleotides) under Platyophrya macrostoma. The record is from RNAcentral. Lineage: Eukaryota; Ciliophora; Colpodea; Cyrtolophosidida; Platyophryidae.
AAAAAGAUGAAAAAAAAAAAAGCAGCAGAGUUCAUUUUUUUUUUUUCCUCGCGGCACUUUAUAUUUCCCGUAUUUACUUCGGUUUUGUGUGCUUUUUUUUUUGUUUUUCUAUGCAAAAUGUGUGUGCUU